ACAAACUUGGUCAUUUAGAGGAAGUAAAAGUCGUAACAAGGUUUCCGUAGGUGAACCUGCGGAAGGAUCAUUAUUGAAAUAAAAAAUUUGGAUUGGAGUUGCUGGUUCCUUUAAAGCGGGGAGCCUUGCACACUUCUAUCCAUUUUCUCAACCACCUGUGCAUCUUUUGUAAACCUGAAUCACUUCCUUUCAAGUUAAAUUCUUGGUUUUAGAAAGUAGCAAAUGCAGCUUUUCUUGUGUGCUUUCAGGUUUAUGUUGCUCUUAUAACACACGCUUAGUAUGUGUCAGAAUGUUGGAAUUUUAAUAAAUUUUAAACAACUUUCAACAACGGAUCUCUUGGCUCUCGCAUCGAUGAAGAACGCAGC
This 365-nucleotide unclassified non-coding RNA is filed under the name uncultured fungus. RNAcentral describes it as "partial contains small subunit ribosomal RNA, internal transcribed spacer 1, and 5.8S ribosomal RNA". The stretch from base 1 to 73 matches the Rfam family "Eukaryotic small subunit ribosomal RNA", at positions 1759 to 1831 of the family's 1831-position model. Lineage: Eukaryota; Fungi. The record is from RNAcentral.